CGUACGUAGCAGAGCAGCUCCCUC
RNAcentral lists this non-coding RNA (24 nucleotides) under Gallus gallus (chicken). RNAcentral also lists the same sequence under 6 other names. The record is from RNAcentral. Lineage: Eukaryota; Metazoa; Chordata; Aves; Galliformes; Phasianidae.